UCUAUACGGUGAAACUGCGAAUGGCUCAUUAAAUCAGUUAUCGUUUAUUUGAUAGUACCUUACUACUUGGAUAACCGUGGUAAUUCUAGAGCUAAUACAUGCUAAAAACCCCGACUUCGGAAGGGGUGUAUUUAUUAGAUAAAAAACCAAUGCCCUUCGGGGCUCCUUGGUGAUUCAUAAUAACUUAACGAAUCGCAUGGCCUUGUGCCGGCGAUGGUUCAUUCAAAUUUCUGCCCUAUCAACUUUCGAUUGUAAGGUAUUGGCUUACAAUGGUUUCAACGGGUAACGGGGAAUUAGGGUUCUAUUCCGGAGAAGGAGCCUGAGAAACGGCUACUACAUCCAAGGAAGGCAGCAGGCGCGCAAAUUACCCAAUCCCGACACGGGGAGGUAGUGACAAUAAAUACUGAUACAGGGCUCUUUUGGGUCUUGUAAUUGGAAUGAGUACAAUUUAAAUCCCUUAACGAGGAACAAUUGGAGGGCAAGUCUGGUGGAUGUCAAUCCUGGGGGGCUCCAGCUCCCCUGCUGGCGCCAGAAAAAGCUUGGUAGUGAUCAUUCUAGUCGUUGUACAACACGCUUUGGGUGUACAGCGGCAAGACAACCUUGAUCGGGGAAGGCUACAGUCCUAGUACUAGUUAACCCCGAGCCGAGCCCUUAGCAAUAGGGGCCGGUCUAGAGCACGCCAAGGUGUCGGCGCCCCUCCGGGGGUGCUUAAGGUACGUGCCGUCCCUCGCGAAAGCCUGUCUGUGCGGGAGUUCCCAAAGAACAACCGUAUAGAGGUAUGACCUUCGGGUCUACUGGGCACUAAACGGCCAGCAGCCGCGGUAAUUCCAGCUCCAAUAGCGUAUAUUAAAGUUGUUGCAGUUAAAAAGCUCGUAGUUGAACCUUGGGCCUGGUUGGCCGGUCCGCCUCACCGCGUGCACUGGUCCGACCGGGUCUUUCCUUCUGGGGAGCCGCAUGCCCUUCACUGGGUGUGUCGGGGAACCAGGACUUUUACUUUGAAAAAAUUAGAGUGUUCAAAGCAGGCCUAUGCUCGAAUACAUUAGCAUGGAAUAAUAGAAUAGGACGUGUGGUUCUAUUUUGUUGGUUUCUAGGACCGCCGUAAUGAUUAAUAGGGAUAGUCGGGGGCGUCAGUAUUCAAUUGUCAGAGGUGAAAUUCUUGGAUUUAUUGAAGACUAACUACUGCGAAAGCAUUCGCCAAGGAUGUUUUCAUUAAUCAGUGAACGAAAGUUAGGGGAUCGAAGACGAUCAGAUACCGUCGUAGUCUUAACCAUAAACUAUGCCGACUAGGGAUCGGGCGAUGUUAUCUUUUUGACUCGCUCGGCACCUUACGAGAAAUCAAAGU
This 1342-nucleotide ribosomal RNA is filed under the name Erioscyphella abnormis. RNAcentral describes it as "SSU rRNA". It matches the Rfam family "Eukaryotic small subunit ribosomal RNA", at positions 73 to 1104 of the family's 1831-position model. Lineage: Eukaryota; Fungi; Ascomycota; Leotiomycetes; Helotiales; Lachnaceae. The record is from RNAcentral.